Molecule: long non-coding RNA, 996 nt
Organism: Manduca sexta (tobacco hornworm)
Lineage: Eukaryota; Metazoa; Arthropoda; Insecta; Lepidoptera; Sphingidae
Exons: 5
Source: RefSeq, a predicted model, not a curated record
AUGACAUCAACUUGACAGAGUGCCAAGGUGAUUGAAAUUGAAAAAUAUUCAAAUACCUACGUCUGUUUAUUACGUUUAUUGUGUUUGUGUUUUAAAAUACAUAAUAAUCCCGUGUUAAUGUAUUCACAGUGUAUUUUUGUAAACAUGAUAAACUACACUCGCAACGAACUUCGACGAAUAACAUCACUCAAGAAGAUUUCGAGGUAUCACAUUAUACCCGGUAACAAUAUAAUAAAGUCACACAAAUGAGCUGAAUACUGUCACCCUACUGGGGAGAUCAACUAAUAAGAGUCACUUGUGCAACAAGAUGCAGUAAGCACUUUGGUGACUCCGCAUUUACAAGCCAUGGAAACUUCAUCACCUGUCCAGGUGUCAACCAUAUUAUGUGAAGCAACUACUAAUGGUCUAAAGGAUGCAUGGACGAGCUUAUCAUGGAUAACGUAACAUUAGAACGCAACGAGAGUACCUCAUAUCACAGAGAAUAAGUGCCAAAGACCAGAGGAAUUUUGAGGGAGCUGGCUUAAGAAAUAACGCCCAGAAAGACACAAAAUUAAUAAACAACCAUGCAGUCUCCUCGCAAUACGCAACAGAUACAAAUUGUUGACGAAACUUGCGGAUAUAGGACUCUGUAUGCCGUGUUGAAGGCGCCGGCGCAUGCGCAUCACAAAUUGCACCACGAACACAAACAGCGGUGAUGAGAUACGACUCCCCACGGGAAUAGUGAAAAGACAACAGUUUAUAACUGCAAAAAAACAUUAAUAAGCCCGACAAGCCGCGGUAAAUGUACGACGCAGUCGAAAGUAAGGGAGUCAGUCUCAGCAGCGUUGAAUGGCUCGAACUUACUAUUGUUUCUGGCCGGAAUAUUAUUCCGAUAUCGGAAGGAAGCGACAAUCGCCGUCAUAUAUAAUAACAAAAUAAUAAUAUCAGCCCUGUAUCAUGUACUGUCCCACUGGUGGGCACGGGCCAACACUACUACUGAGAGGGAUUAGGCGUUAG